Molecule: non-coding RNA, 141 nt
Filed under: Elusimicrobiota bacterium
Lineage: Bacteria; Pseudomonadati; Elusimicrobiota
Description: Elusimicrobia bacterium MoCo sequence
Rfam family: Molybdenum/Tungsten riboswitch aptamer (Moco RNA motif)
Source: RNAcentral
AGACUGACCAGCCUCCGAUCUUCCGUUCCUAAACCGAAAGGCAUGGAAUCGAGGACGAGUCCGGCGUGAGCCGGACGACGGGGCCCGUACCGAAAGGGGCCGGCCUCCCGCGCAAUGGAAAGGAGAGAGAGAUGAUCGCGC